UGGCGGCGAUAGCGCGGUGGUCCCACCUGACCCCAUGCCGAACUCAGAAGUGAAACGCCGUAGCGCCGAUGGUAGUGUGGGGUCUCCCCAUGUGAGAGUAGGGAACUGCCAGGCA
RNAcentral lists this ribosomal RNA (115 nucleotides) under Klebsiella aerogenes. The record is from RNAcentral. RNAcentral also lists the same sequence under 36 other names. Lineage: Bacteria; Pseudomonadati; Pseudomonadota; Gammaproteobacteria; Enterobacterales; Enterobacteriaceae.